RNAcentral lists this ribosomal RNA (253 nucleotides) under uncultured bacterium. Its description in RNAcentral is "partial 16S ribosomal RNA". It matches the Rfam family "Bacterial small subunit ribosomal RNA", at positions 524 to 776 of the family's 1533-position model. The record is from RNAcentral.
UACGUAGGGUGCGAGCGUUGUCCGGAAUUAUUGGGCGUAAAGAGCUCGUAGGCGGUCUGUCGCGUCGGAUGUGAAAGCCCGGGGCUUAACUCCGGGUCUGCAUUCGAUACGGGCAGACUAGAGUGUGGUAGGGGAGAUCGGAAUUCCUGGUGUAGCGGUGGAAUGCGCAGAUAUCAGGAGGAACACCGAUGGCGAAGGCAGGUCUCUGGGCCGCAACUGACGCUGAGGAGCGAAAGCAUGGGGAGCGAACAGG